This 119-nucleotide ribosomal RNA is filed under the name Monopterus albus (swamp eel). Lineage: Eukaryota; Metazoa; Chordata; Actinopteri; Synbranchiformes; Synbranchidae. The record is from RNAcentral.
ACCUAUGGACACACCGCUUGAGGCGUGCCUGAUCUAAUCUGUUCUCUGAAACUAAGCAAGGGUGGGCCUCAUCAGUACCUGGAUGGGAGACUACCUUGGAAUAUCAAAUGCUGUAGGCU